UACGGAGGGUGCAAGCGUUAUCCGGAUUUACUGGGUUUAAAGGGUGCGUAGGUGGAUAAUUAAGUCAGUGGUGAAAUCUUCAGGCUUAACCUGGAAACUGCCAUUGAUACUAUUUAUCUUGAAUACUUUGGAGGUAAGCGGAAUAUGUCAUGUAGCGGUGAAAUGCUUAGAUAUGACAUAGAACACCAAUUGCGAAGGCAGCUGGCUACACAUAUAUUGACACUGAUGCACGAAAGCGUGGGGAUCAAACAGG
Molecule: ribosomal RNA, 253 nt
Filed under: uncultured bacterium
Lineage: Bacteria
Description: partial 16S ribosomal RNA
Rfam family: Bacterial small subunit ribosomal RNA
Source: RNAcentral